UUUGAGUGAGUGGGGUCCGGGUGAGUAACACGUGGGUAACCCUGCCCUACAGCGUGGGACUACACCGGGUGCAUGCUGCAAAAAUCACAUAACGACCUGUACGGCAUGGUACCUAUCUUUAAAGAUGGUUCGGGGGAUCCCAUUUGGAUGGUCCGCAGUGCGCAUUGCCUAGAUGGUGGGGGAUCGGCUCACCAUGGCAAUGAAUGUAUAGCCAGACCUGAGAGGGUAAUCGGCCUCAUUGGGACUUAUACACGGCCCAAACUCCUACGGGAGGCAGCAGUAGGGAAUCUUCCCCAAUGGACAAAAGUGUGACGCAGCUACUCCGCGUGAGUGAAGAAGGGUUUCGGCUCGUCAAUCUCUGUUGUUAUAGAAGACCAUAUCUCAGAGUGGCUGUUCAGGUAUUGACGGUAUUUAACCAAAAAGCCACGGCUAUCUACGUGCCAGCACCCCCGGUAAUACGUAGGUGGCAAGCGUUGUCCGGAUUUAUUGGGCGUAAAGCGAGCGCAGGCGGUUUUUUAAGUUUGAUGUGAAAGCCUUCGGCUCAACCUAAGAAGUGCAUCGGAAACUGGGAAACUUGAGUGCAGAAGAGGACAGUGGAACUCCAUGUGUAUCGGUGAAAUGCGUAGAUAUAUGGAAGAACACCAGUGGCGAAGGCGGCUGUCUGGUCUGUAACUGACGCUGAGGCUCGAAAGUAUGGGUAGCAAACAGGAUUAGAUACCCUGGUAGUCCAUACCGUAAACGAUGAAUGCUAAGUGUUGGAGGGUUUCCGCCCUUCAGUGCUGCAGCUAACGCAUUAAGCAUUCCGCCUGGGGAGUACGGCCGCAAGGCUGAAACUCAAAGGAAUUGACGGGGGCCCGCACAAGCGGUGGAGCAUGUGGUUUAAUUCGAAGCUACGCGAAGAACCUUACCAGGUCUUGACAUACUAUGCAAAUUUAAGAGAUUAGACGUUCCCUUCGGGGACAUGGAUACAGGUGGUGCAUGGUUGUGGUGAGCUCGUGUCGUGAGAUGUUGGGUUAAGUCCCGCAACGAGCGCAACCCUUAUUAUCAGUUGCCAGCAUUAACCCCGGCACUCUGGUGAGACUGCCGGCGACAAACCGGAGGAAGGUGGGGAUGACGCCAAAUUAUCAUGCCCCUUAUGACCUGGGCUACACACGUGCUACAAUGGAUAGUACAACGAGUUGUGAACUCGGGAGAGUAAGCUAAUCUCUUAAAGCCAUUCUCAGUUCGGAUUGCCCGCUGCAGACUCGUCUACAUGAAGGCGGAAUCGCUAGAUGGUCGCGGAAUCAUCAUGCCGUGGUGAAUACGUUCCUGGGGCUUGGACACACCGGCCCGUCUCACCAUGAGAGUUUCCUAACACUCUAAGGCCGUUGGGUGACCUUCUAAGCACCAGCCCGCUAUGGUGGG
Molecule: ribosomal RNA, 1404 nt
Filed under: Lactobacillus sp.
Lineage: Bacteria; Bacillati; Bacillota; Bacilli; Lactobacillales; Lactobacillaceae
Description: bacterial SSU rRNA
Rfam family: Bacterial small subunit ribosomal RNA
Source: RNAcentral